AUUCAAUAUUAUCAACGGAGAAGGUGUUCUCAAGUUUUAUCUGACCGAACAAGUUACAAGUUUAAACAAAGGUACGAAAAGAUGAAGAUAUUAUCAAGAGCAAUUGAUAAGUUUGUAAUCAGCAUUCCCAAAUCCAGGAUCUCCAAAGAAUCAACAAGUGAUAUUAGCAGACAACUCCAGAGUUCCAAAAAAAGUAUUGAUGAGCAGUUCAAACUAGAACCAUGCUGAAUCAAUAUUCUGGAGAGUGAAAAGUGAGGGAAGCUCUCAACUGUGAUUUUACAAAAAUAUUUCAUUAGGGAAAGAUAAGAAAUGGAAAUAUAGCUCACUCACUACAAGAAAACACGCCUUUUGCGAGGAUGAGUUGCGACGGAGGAUAGCUCUCGCAAAUUUGCGGUGGAUUUGCGACGGAUGUACGAGAAAAUAAAAAUACCUAGCAACUCCUUC
Non-coding RNA from Camelina sativa (false flax), 444 nucleotides. NCBI's taxonomy places the organism in Eukaryota, Viridiplantae, Streptophyta, Magnoliopsida, Brassicales, Brassicaceae. The record is from RefSeq and is a predicted model, not a curated record.